AUGCACGCUGGCGGCGUGCCUAAUACAUGCAAGUCGAGCGAACAGACGAGGAGCUUGCUCCUCUGACGUUAGCGGCGGACGGGUGAGUAACACGUGGAUAACCUACCUAUAAGACUGGGAUAACUUCGGGAAACCGGCGCUAAUACCGGAUAAUAUAUUGAACCGCAUGGUUCCAUAGUGAAAGACGGUUUUGCUGUCACUUAUAGAUGGAUCCGCGCCGCAUUAGCUAGUUGGUAAGGUAACGGCUUACCAAGUCGACGAUGCGUAGCCGACCUGAGAGGGUGAUCGGCCACACUGGAACUGAGACACGGUACAGACUCCUACGGGAGGCAGCAGUAGGGAAUCUUCAGCAAUGGGCGAAAGCCUGACGGAGCAACGCCGCGUGAGUGAUGAAGGUCUUCGGAUCGUAAAACUCUGUUAUUAGGGAAGAACAAAUGUGUAAGUAACUAUGCACGUCUUGACGGUACCUAAUCAGAAAGCCACGGCUAACUACGUG
RNAcentral lists this ribosomal RNA (496 nucleotides) under uncultured bacterium. RNAcentral describes it as "partial 16S ribosomal RNA". It matches the Rfam family "Bacterial small subunit ribosomal RNA", at positions 29 to 507 of the family's 1533-position model. The record is from RNAcentral.